Molecule: non-coding RNA, 71 nt
Organism: Pangasius djambal
Lineage: Eukaryota; Metazoa; Chordata; Actinopteri; Siluriformes; Pangasiidae
Source: the annotation of a GenBank genome assembly
UCCCUGGAGGACUAGUGGUUAGGCCACAGCGCUUUCACCACUGCGGCCCGGGUUCAAUUCUCGCCAGCGAG